AGUGAACGCUGGCGGUAGGCCUAACACAUGCCAGUCGAACGGCAGCACAGUAAGAGCUUGCUCUUACGGGUGGCGAGUGGCGGACGGGUGAGGAAUACAUCGGAAUCUACUUUUUCGUGGGGGAUAACGUAGGGAAACUUACGCUAAUACCGCAUACGACCUACGGGUGAAAGCAGGGGAUCUUCGGACCUUGCGCGAAUGAAUGAGCCGAUGUCGGGUUAGCUAGUUGGCGGGGUAAAGGCCCACCAAGGCGACGAUCCGUAGCUGGUCUGAGAGGAUGAUCGGCCACACUGGAACUGAGACACGGUCCAGACUCCUACGGGAGGCAGCAGUGGGGAAUAUUGGACAAUGGGCGCAAGCCUGAUCCAGCCAUACCGCGUGGGUGGAGAAGGCCUUCGGGUUGUAAAGCCCUUUUGUUGGGAAAGAAAAGCAGCAGGUUAAUACCCCGCUGUUCUGACGGUACCCAAAGAAUAAGCACCGGCUAACUUCGUG
RNAcentral lists this ribosomal RNA (492 nucleotides) under uncultured bacterium. Its description in RNAcentral is "partial 16S ribosomal RNA". It matches the Rfam family "Bacterial small subunit ribosomal RNA", at positions 29 to 507 of the family's 1533-position model. The record is from RNAcentral.